CUAUAAGAGUUAGUCACUAUCGUUACCCUUGUAUAAGGAUACGGGAAUACUAAUGUUGA
This 59-nucleotide non-coding RNA is filed under the name unclassified sequences. The record is from Rfam.